Molecule: long non-coding RNA, 727 nt
Filed under: Zea mays
Lineage: Eukaryota; Viridiplantae; Streptophyta; Magnoliopsida; Poales; Poaceae
Description: long non-coding RNA (ZMAY_LNC005519)
Source: RNAcentral
UUUACUGGAUGCUGAGUGAGUAUGUUUAACUUGGUAGUUUUAGGUAACCAUGUUCUUUCCUGUGACAAUCCCUCUAUUGCGUAAUGUCUACUUCAAUAUUUGAAAACAAAAAAACUUACUAUUUAGUGCUUAUGUUUGUAAUUUUGCACAACUUGUUUGCUGAUUGAUCUAACAAAAAGUGGCUUCCUCUGCAAUUGUCCUGGUAGAUUGUGUCUAUUCUUUUUUGUUAGUAUUUUUUUGAGGGAAUCAGGAGGGGCUGACCCCUAUUAUAAAUUUAUAUAAAGAACAGAAAAAGCUCCAAAUGAGUUUUAGGAAACAAAAAAGGUAACAAACAUAGUAAUUGUACACAUGUCUUGCAGGUGAAGCUAAAAUAAAGAGUAGAAUUCCAUAUCAUAAAAUGAUUUUAGAUAGUGUGUAAUACUUUUAAAUGAUCAUUGAUAUAUGUAACCAUAAAUUAAUGGGUAUCACCAGUUUGGUGGCUAGUUUCCUUAUCAUCCAUUAAUAAUGUGAAUUGCUAUGGUUGUGAUUCACAGACAUGUUCUUGGUAUUGAUAUUGACCCACAGUCACUUGAACUUGCUCAAGAAAAUGCUGCUGAUCUGGAGGUAUGACAAUGUUUUUGUUUUUCAGUUUUCCACUUUAACUAUUCCUUUACUCUGAAUUGGAGAACCCUUCACUUUAUUUCCCCGCUUGUGUUUUAACCUGUUAAUGGUUCUGACUUGUAUCAAU